This 460-nucleotide ribosomal RNA is filed under the name uncultured bacterium. RNAcentral's name for it is "partial 16S ribosomal RNA". It matches the Rfam family "Bacterial small subunit ribosomal RNA", at positions 338 to 795 of the family's 1533-position model. The record is from RNAcentral.
CCUACGGGAGGCAGCAGUGAGGAAUAUUGGUCAAUGGACGGAAGCCUGAACCAGCCAUGUCGCGUGCAGGAAGACGGCCCUAUGAGUUGUAAACUGCUUUUGUACAAGGGUAAACCUGAACACGUGUAUCCUUCUGAAAGUACUGUACGAAUAAGGAUCGGCUAACUCCGUGCCAGCAGCCGCGGUAAUACGGAGGAUCCGAGCGUUAUCCGGAUUUAUUGGGUUUAAAGGGUGCGUAGGCGGAUUGUUAAGUUAGCUGUGAAAUGUCCGAGCUUAACUCGAGAACUGCCAUUAAUACUGGUAAUCUAGAGAGUAGGUGCGGUAGGCGGAAUGUAUGGUGUAGCGGUGAAAUGCUUAGAUAUCACACAGAACACCGAUUGCGAAGGCAGCUUACCAAUCUAUAACUGACGUUGAUGCACGAAAGCGUGGGGAGCAAACAGGAUUAGAUACCCGUGUAGUC